This 301-nucleotide ribosomal RNA is filed under the name uncultured bacterium. RNAcentral describes it as "partial 16S ribosomal RNA". It matches the Rfam family "Bacterial small subunit ribosomal RNA", at positions 509 to 807 of the family's 1533-position model. The record is from RNAcentral.
CAGUCGCCACGGGAAUACGUAGGGUGCGAGCGUUAAUCGGAAUUACUGGGCGUAAAGCGUGCGCAGGCGGUUUUGUAAGACAGGCGUGAAAUCCCCGGGCUCAACCUGGGAAUGGCGCUUGUGACUGCAAAGCUAGAGUGCAGCAGAGGGGGAUGGAAUUCCGCGUGUAGCAGUGAAAUGCGUAGAUAUGCGGAGGAACACCGAUGGCGAAGGCAAUCCCCUGGGCCUGCACUGACGCUCAUGCACGAAAGCGUGGGGAGCAAACAGGAUUAGAUACCCCCGUAGUCCCUGUCUCUUAUAC